GAUGAACGCUGGCGGCGUGCUUAACACAUGCAAGUCGAACGGAAAGGCGCUGCGUUUGCUGGUUUCUCGUUUGCCGCACGGGGGAGUAUCACGUGUGUAACCUCCCCUUGUCUUUCUGAUAACUUUACGAGAAUCCGGCUCUUACCGCAUAUGAUCUUUUGCUGCGUGUUGUUGAAUGGUAAAAUCCGGUCGUUGUGGAUGUACUGGCGGGUUCUCAGCUUGUUGGUCUGGUAGUGACUUACCAAGGUUUUGACGGGUAGCCGGCCUGAGAGGGUGACCGGCCACAAUGGUACUGCGGUACGGAGCAGAAGCGUACGUGAGGCAGCAGUGGGGAGUCUUGCAGAAUGGGCGGAAGCCUGAUGUAGCAACGUCGGGUGCGGGAUGACGGCUUUCGGGUUGUAAACAGAUUUCGACUGAGACGAAGAGAGAGUGACGGUAAUGAGUAAAGAAGCACCGGCUAACUACGUG
This 468-nucleotide ribosomal RNA is filed under the name uncultured bacterium. Its description in RNAcentral is "partial 16S ribosomal RNA". It matches the Rfam family "Bacterial small subunit ribosomal RNA", at positions 28 to 507 of the family's 1533-position model. The record is from RNAcentral.